RNA transcript from Stegostoma tigrinum, 5070 nucleotides. RefSeq lists it as uncharacterized. The record is from RefSeq and is a predicted model, not a curated record. Lineage: Eukaryota; Metazoa; Chordata; Chondrichthyes; Orectolobiformes; Stegostomatidae. The transcript is spliced from 7 exons.
CAUUGUUGUGUUGUUGAAAUGCAAACAAAAAUCUAUAUGAUGUCAACUUUAUUCUCAGCUAAUCCCAUUGUCAAAUGACAGAUUGUGAUGUUGGUAACUGGAAAGCCUCCAUUGUUGGAGGACGAGAAGCCGUAUCCAAUUGAAGCAGCACAGGCUUCUGCGAUGACUGUGGAAACCACUGCUUAUGCCUUGCUUCAAGCAUUGUCAAGGAAUGAUGUUGACUACGCAACAUGGAUUGCGAGGCGGCUAACGAUGCAACAGAACUAUGGUGGUGGAUUUCACUCGAUGCAGGACACAAUCAUUGCCUUGGAAGUUUCAUCACGAUGCGACAUUGCAUUUCUGAAGAGGGAAGAAGAAAUCAAUAUGCAAAUUCAAUUCCAUGUUUUUGGAAGUCCCAUUGAGAACACGAUUCAUUUGCGCCGGCAUAAUGCUCUGACUGAGAAAGAAUUGAAGGACACAAUCAUCGCCUUGGAAGCUUCAUCACGAUACUACUUUGCAUUUCUGAAGAGGGAAGAAGAAAUAAACAUGCAAAUUCAAUUCCAUGGUUUUGGAAGUCCCAUUGAGAACACGAUUCAUUUGCGCCGGCAUAAUGCUCUGACCGAGAAAGAAUUGAAGGACACAAUCAUCGCCUUGGAAGCUUCAUCACGAUACUACUUUGCAUUUCUGAAGAGGGAAGAAGAAAUCAACAUGAAAAUUCAAUUCCAUGGUUUUGGAAGUCCCAUUGAGAACACGAUUCAUUUGCGCCGGCAUAAUGCUCUGACCGAGAAAGAAUUGAAGGACACAAUCAUCGCCUUGGAAGCUUCAUCACGAUGCUAGUUUGCAUUUCUGAAGAGGGAAGAAGAAAUCAAUAUGCAAAUUCAAUUCCAUGGUUUUGGAAGUCCCAUUGAGAACACGAUUCAUUUGCGCCGGCAUAAUGCUCUGACCGAGAAAGAAUUGAAGAACCUACCCCGGAAGAGAGAGCCCAGAGAAUUGCCAAAGCUGUCCGCAAACAGUCAACAGAAGUGAAGGAAAAUUGGGAGCAAUUGAAAACCCGUGCAAGCAACUGGCAGAAACAGGUGGAAAAGGCGUUGGAGAAACUUCAAGAACUGCAGAAAGCUCUGGAUGAUCUUGAGGCUCAUGUGAUAACAGCUGAGGGGGUCCACACUGAUUGGCAACCUGUGGGUGACCUGCUUAUUGACUCAUUGCAGGAUCACAUUGAUAAAACCACAGGUAAGGACUAUCUGCAAAAUCUGAGAUUGGGUUUUGAAAGACAGCAGCCUUUGUUUUGGAGAGAUAAUGGGAACUGCAGAUGCUGGAGAAUGCGAGAUAACACCGUGUGGAACUGGACGAAGACAGCAGGCCAAGCAUCAUCUUAGGAGCACAAAAGCUAAUGUUUCGGGCCGAGAACCACCUUCAGAAAAUGGGGAGGGGGUGCGGGUUCUGGAUUAAAUAGGGAGAGAGGGGGAGGCGGAUGGAAGAUGGAUGGAGGAGAAGGUAGGUGGAGAGGAGAGUAUGGGUAGGGAGGCAGGGAGGGGAUAGGUCAGUCUGGGGAGGCGGGACAGGGCAAGGGAGCGGGAUGAGGGGAAAUAGGGGUGCGGCAUGAGGUGGGAGGGGGGGAUGGGUGAGAGGAAGAAUAGGUUAGGGAGGCGGGGACGAGCUGGGCUGGUUUUGGGAUGCAGUGGGAGGACAGGAGAUUUGGAAGCUUGUGAAAUCCACACUGAUACCAUUGGGCUGCAGGGUUCCCAAGCAGAAUAUGAGUUGCUGUUCCUGCAACCUUCGGGUGGCGUCAUUAUGGCACUGCAGGAGGCCCAGGUUGGACGUGUCCUCUCAGGAAUGGGAGGGGGAGUUGAAAUGGUUAGUGACUGGGAGGUGCAGUUGUUUAUUGCAAACUGAGCGUAGGUGUUCUGAAAAGCGGUCCCCAAGCCUCUGCAUUGUUUCCCCAAUGUAGAGGAAGCCACAACGGGGACAGCGGAUGUUUUGGAUAUUUCUUCAGCAUUGAUUUUCAUUCAGAGUUGGUUCGAUUUUGCUGAAGCAAUAGACAUAACUCACUAUGACGUAGACAAUGUCAGAGUUAAUGGUUCGCGUCCUGUGACCCUUCCUCAGAUCUCACUCUUAACUGAUGCUGCCAGACCUGCUGAGCUUUUCCAGCAACUUCUGCUUUUGUUGCUGAUUUACAGUGCCCACAGUUCUUUUGUUUUUUACAACACAGACAAAACUUGAUCUCUGCAGGAAGCAUGAUGCUGCAUUCUCCAACUUCCCUGGCCUUUUGUAAUAUAAUAUUGUCUUUUUAGGACAGAAGUGGCUUUUUUUUUGUUUUAACUUCUGCACAUGCUUUCUAUGCAGGUUAAAAGUCUACACCUUUUCAGUUCACUGCCGUGCUGCAUAAUGAAGACUUGGAACAAUUUUUUUUAUGAAGUAGAAAAUCAGUGUGGUUUGUUUUCCAAAAUGUGAUGUGUAAGUGCAACACUUAACAGUGUGUUCAUCAAACUAUUGUUUCCUUUGAUCUUUGUGUUGCAGAAAUUUCUAGAAUCAUUUCAUAUAUAUUUUUCUUGAUAUAUUUUAGCAGCUUUCCUGGAGCAAGUCUGUUUUCCUUCGGAUGAGACGACUUUCAGACAUACUCCCUUUAUUAUGAGAUAUAAUUGGGGUAAAAUGAGGAGGAUUUUUAUUCACUGAGACACACAUGACUAUAUGUUUAAAUCAUUGGAAAAUGCAUUCUGUUCGGACUGUCAUGUUAUCUGGUGUUUGUACCAGGCUUUCCGAUUAAAUGCAAGUGAUUAAGGAUGCUAAUGAUGCCACAUGUUAUUACAAGAGGAAAUGAACUUCCAAGUAAGGAUUUUAUGCCACAUUUAUACACAGCAUGGACCACGCAGCAUGGAUGCAGUGACUGAGGGAAAUGGGAUGCAGUGGCUGUGGGAAAUGGGAUGCAGUGACGGAGUGAAAUGGAAUGCCGUGACAGAGUGAAAUGGGAUGCCGUGACAGAGUGAAAUGGGAUGCUCACAGUGAAUUGCCCCCUCCAUCCUGACCCUCUCGCAGCGACCUGACCCGCUCACACUGACUCGCCCCUGCAGUCCUGACCCGCUCACAGUGACUAGCCCCUGCAGUCCUGACCAGCUCACAGCGACUUCUCUCUGCAGUCCUGACCCACUCACAGCGACCUACCCCUCCGUGCUGACCCGCUCAGAGUGAGUUGCCCCUACAGUCCUGACACCCCUCACAGUGACCUGCCCCCUCACUCCUGACCCGCUCUGCAUUGAGGAAACCAAGCGGAGGCUUGGGGACCGCUUUGCAGAACACCUCCGCUCGGUUCGCAACAAACAACUGCACCUCCCAGUCGCGAACCAUUUUAACUCCCCCUCCCAUUCCUUAGACGACAUGUCCAUCAUGGGCCUCCUGCAGUGCCACAAUAAUGCCACCCGAAGGUUGCAAGGACAGCAACUCCUCAUCCGCUUGGGAACCCUGCAACCCAAUGGUAUCAAUGUGGACUUCACAAGCUUCAAAAUCUCCCCCUCCCCAACUGCAUCCCAAAACCAGCCCAGUUCUUCCCCUCCCGCUACUGCAUCACAAAACCAGCCCAGCCUGUCUCCGCCUCCCUAACCUGUUGUUCCUCUCACCCAUCCCUUCCUCCCACCUCAAGCCACACCUCCAUUUCCGACCGACCACCUCAUCCUGCCUCCUUGACUUGUCCGUCUUCCCUGGACUGACCUAUCCCCUCCCUCCCUCCUCACCUGUACUCUCCUCUCUACCUAUCUUGUUUUCUCUCCAUCUUCGGUCCGCAUCCCCCCCUCUCCCUAUUUAUUCCACUUCCCUCUCCCAUCCCCCUCUCUGAUGAAGGGUCUCGGCCUGAAAUGUCAGCUUUUGUGCUCCUGAGAUGCUGCUUGGCCUGCUGUGUUCAUCCAGCUCCACACUUUGUUAUUUUGGAUUCUCCAGCAUUUGCCAUUAUCAGUGGCCUUUCCUCUUUGUCAAAGUUUGUGCAAAAGCAACACGAUAUGGGGCGGCACGGUGGCUCAGUGAUUAGCACUGCAGCUUCACAGCACUGGGGACUCAGGCUCAAUUCCAGCCUCAGGCAACUGUUUGUGUGGAAUUUGCACCUUGACCCUGUGUCUGCGUGGGUUUCUUCCAGGUGCUCCGGUCUCCUCCCACAGUCCAAAGAGGUGCACGCUAGGUGGAUUGGCCAUGCUAAAUUGCCCAUAGUGUUCAGGGGCGUGGGUCUGGGUGGGAUGCUCCAAGGUUUGGUGUGCAGUUGUUGGGCCAAAGGGCCUGUUUCCACACUGUAGGGAAUCUAAACAAUCCUGUUCCCACAUCUCCAUGUUAUAACCCUGCUGAGCACUGCACACAGAGAUGUUUGAUAACAAAAGGAUAACAAUAAUAUUCAAACCCAGUGCUGGAGAUGUAUUUUAAAUACACUGAGGCCAGUGUCGAUCUCCAAUUCAACUUUUAUUUACAAAUGAACUGUCUUCAACUUUAGCACUGCCUCAUUCAGAGAUAGUUGCCAGGGUGUCAGCAUCUCUGACCCUCACACGACUUAGCUGUCAGUCAGGGCUCCCUGAUUUGGGCUGUUAAUGUGGACCAGUCAGGCAACUCAUAUUCUGAGGUUCAACUGGCCGACCUGGUCACAAACCAGUGCGGUGUGUUCAUCGAAAAUCAAACAUGUACUAGAAAGGUACCAUUACAUACCAGUGCAAAGGAAGGCAUGAGGCUAAACUGGGGAGGGAAGGGAACUGCUUAUUGGGGGUGGCUCAGAGAGUGGAAGAAAAUCGAAUGGGAAGAAGACCAUUUGAGACUGAGGGAGAGAGAUGUAAUUGCCUGAAUGAGGCAUUCCAAUUGCGAAAUGGAUUUUUGUGUGUACACCCUGUUCAGUUUCCCCGAUCUUAAUCUGUCCUCCUCUUUAAAUCAUUCGUAUCUGAAAUUUCUGUAUCAUUUCCAAAUGCUCUGUCUCUAAUGUUAUGCUGUUGGAAUUGUUUGAACUGCAGAGAUAUCAUUUAUUUGCACAAAUGUGUUCAGUGAAAUGAGUUGCAUGCUAUAUAUGUAUUAUUCUUCCUGAUUCUAUUAUACGCAUACAAAUUAAAGUUAGUUCCACUUUUGAACAACAAA